RNAcentral lists this long non-coding RNA (3751 nucleotides) under Brassica napus (rape). RNAcentral's name for it is "long non-coding RNA (BNAP_LNC022843)". Lineage: Eukaryota; Viridiplantae; Streptophyta; Magnoliopsida; Brassicales; Brassicaceae. The record is from RNAcentral.
CUCCCCUGAUUCAUAUUAUUCCCUUUGCCUGACACCACAAUUGUUUUUUUAAUGUCAAAAUACAGAUAAAUGUUAUGUGGUUGGACUUUGUGACUUACCUGCAUCACCAUGGUCAUGAAGAUAAGCUCCCUUGGUACCGUGGGAAGGUAGUCUUUGGCCUUUGUAGACAACACCAUGUUAUCUCUCUCUCUCUCUCUCUUUAAGGUUGUCUAAACUCUCAUGUCUCUCUCGGAAACAGGAAUGGAGUUACUUGAGAGGAGGACUUACAACAUUGGACCGUGACUACGGAUUGAUCAACAACAUCCAUCACGACAUUGGAACUCAUGUGAUACAUCAUCUUUUCCCUCAGAUCCCACAUUAUCAUCUAGUAGAAGCAGUAAGUAGUUGAAACGAAAGUUUGAUUUUUGGUGUGUUCAUGCUACUACAGAAGCUUAGAACUUAUCUCUGUGUGUCUCUUGGUUGCUUGUUUCUCCUUUGCAGACAGAAGCAGCUAAACCAGUAUUAGGGAAGUAUUAUAGGGAGCCUGAUAAGUCUGGACCUUUGCCAUUGCAUUUACUGGGAAUCUUAGCAAAAAGUAUUAAAGAAGAUCAUUUUGUGAGCGAUGAAGGAGAUGUUGUAUACUAUGAAGCAGACCCUAAUCUCUAUGGACAGAUCAAGGUAACAUCAGAAUGAAAUGAAGCAUGCAAAGAGAGAAAGAGAGAGAAGCUGUCAGAUUUAUCUAUUUCUGACCAGCUGAUUUUUUUUGCUUAUUAAUGUCAAUUCAUUGUGUUACCAUUAUCUCUGAAUACAAUCAGAUGGAAACCCCAACUUUGUUUUCAAUACUUGAAGCAUAUAUAUAAGAUACAUUGUACUGUCAUUAGAUUCUCAAGGUUUUUUAUACAUAUUUUGUAUUUGAGUGAUUACACCAAACAUUAUUCAGUUUGGUUGGUUUUGUAUUUUAAGGUAAGUUUCAAUUAUAAUUUCAUUCAUGCGGUGAACAUGUAACUACUGUCAUAGACUAUUUCUACACGGAAAAAAAUCGGAUAUCCGAUUUUUUAAACCGAUUUGGCAUAAAUCGGGGCGGAAAAGUGAUGCGUAACGCCUAGGCGGCUAGGCGGCCGAGUUUUAGAACAGGGGUAUGAGAAAUUAUACUAUAACACCUCGUGGUUGAUGUGGUCACUAGUUCCAUAAACAGUGAAGGUGUUGUGGUUUUGUUUGAAAUUAUACUGUGUCACACGUAUCUGGAAAACAAAUUAUUUUCCAGCAAGUUCCGCAAAGCAUAGUUGGAAUUCCUCACAGAGACCACCAUUCAUCUGCAGCGGGUGUAAGAAUUAAUAGCUGCAAAAUGGUUAUUACAGUGCUAUACUUUAAACUAAGUUUGUGUGAAUCAAAAAACAAACCUGAUUUAGAGUCAGAGCAGCUGAUUUAUUUUUUUGUGAGUUUAAGCAUUUCUCUGUCGAAGACCACAAAAGUGGCAUUGUUUAAUGUUCAUUAAUAAUCUUGAUAAAACUAUUUAGAAUAUUAUUGCUUUUCCUUGGAAUGUUCCUUGUGAGACGCAAGUUGAUUAUGUAAAAAUCUCAAAUAAAGAGAAGUGAAACUGAAACUAUGUCCUUCAUACCAUUUCAUUACAAACCAUUUCAAGCAAAAACAGUAUUAGAAAAAUCUUAGUAUAACAUAAGAUUCAAUCCUUCUUCACAUCUACUGCUUCGUCUUUUUCUCUGUUGCCUUCUUCCAUAAUGUUUUUCGUUUCUUUUGUCUCUUCCAUAGUUUCACCCUCUAGAUCAUUAUCUUCUUCUGCAACAGCAGGAAAACAACUCAUCACUACUACCAAAAUAAAACCAUCAACUACACUUAACUGCUUUAAACAACACCAAGUCAAUAUCCUUCCUAUGCAUGGUCCAAAACCUUACCUUAACAUGCAUCUUCUGCAUUUUGUUUCAAGCAUGCUUAAUAUAACGUUAACCCACUUUAACUAUUAAAUUAUAGAAAUUAUUCCCCUCUUAUGAGGUACGUAGUCGUAAAUGGAUUUUUCAAAAACUUGGAAACGGGGAAAAUAUUGCAAAAUCCGAAAUAAGAAAUGCAUAGUAAUUUAAAGAAUUGCAAAGAGACCGAAGCAGAGUUGGGUUGACGGUUUCACAGUUUUGUAACUUCACUCACGGGGGUUCUUACGACUACCCUCUUUUCCCUUAACACCGGAUGGAUUUGGGUCAUCGCCUUGACCUUCAACCUCGUUGCUGGAAGCUUCCAACUCCCAAGCUGAAUACAAAAUAAGGAAGUUCGUCAAAAAUAGUUCACAAUCAGUGCUGCAUCACAGAACCAGAUUAAACUAUCGUGUAGCUCGCUUACUGACACACAAAUUCUGCAUCAAAUAUUACCCAUCACGAUAUAGAAACCAAAUCGUAAGCGAGUUGUUUUAUUAAAUUAACAUCCAGCAACUAAAGGAUUCCAUCAGCACAUCAAAGGCUUCAGCUUUUUAAUACAUGACUUAAAAUUUCAAGGAAUCAUGUUCAUAUACUUUUUCUUAAUCAUGCAACCCCACAAUGAAUUGUAACUUUUUUUUUUGCUAAGACAAUUAUAACAAUUGACAAACGACCGAGCAGCUUUUUUAUUUCUUUGGUUCAUGUACAGAUCAGACCAAGCGGAUUUCAUCAAAUCAAAACACCAUCACAAAACAAUCACUACACAUAAGCGUUUUCUUUUUUUUCAGUCACUGAUUCAAACGUGUAUUCAAUGGGACAAAACUAUAUUAAUCAAAAAACUAAAAGCAAAAUAGAAGGUUAAAUAGCUAGUAGUUAGUUUUGUAAUUGUCAAAACAAAAAAAAAAAUUAACUUUUUUUUUGGUUUCAGUGGACAUGGAAGCUUCUCAAAUGACCCGAGGUUGAACAGUGUGGUGGGUCACCUUCUUCAUUCCUCUAUUCUAGUCCCUUACCAUGGCUGGUUAGUUUUGCUUUUCUCUCAGAAACUACUUGCAGAGUCUUUUGUCUUCUUCUUCUUCUUCAUGUUAUAAAGUAUGUGACUUUGAUUUGACCUGCAGGAGAAUUAGCCACAGAACUCACCACCAGAACCAUGGACAUGUUGAGAACGACGAAUCUUGGCAUCCUGUAAGUUAUUAACACAGGUCAUGUGGUGUUUCUUUUAUUUAUACACUGUUUCUGUAACUGCAGAUGUCUGAGAAAAUCUACGAGAGUUUGGACAAACCGAUUCGGUUCUUUAGAUUCACACUGCCUCUCGUCAUGCUCGCUUACCCUUUCUACUUGGUAAAGAAAAACUCAUCUGUUGUUAACUUAAACUGACACAUCAAGUGCAAAAACAAGGCUCAUGUUUUCUUCAUCUUAUGUUUCAGUGGGCAAGAAGUCCGGGGAAGAAGGGUUCUCAUUACCAUCCAGACAGCGACUUGUUCCUUCCUAAAGAGAGAAAUGAUGUUCUCACUUCUACCGCUUGUUGGACUGCAAUGGCUGCUCUGCUUGUCUGUCUCAACUUCGUGAUGGGUCCAAUGCAAAUGCUGAAACUUUAUGUGAUUCCUUACUGGGUAAUGCGUCUCUGUUACUCCCCUGAUUCAUAUUAUUCCCUUUGCCUGACACCACAAUUGUUUUUUUAAUGUCAAAAUACAGAUAAAUGUUAUGUGGUUGGACUUUGUGACUUACCUGCAUCACCAUGGUCAUGAAGAUAAGCUCCCUUGGUACCGUGGGAAGGUAGUCUUUGGCCUUUGUAGACAACACCAUGUUAUCUCUCUCUCUCUCUCUCUUUAAGGUUGUCUAAACUCUCAUGUCUC